ACAAUGAUACUUCCAGAUAUAAGCUGAUCUGGUCUGAAAAGAUGGUGGGAUUCCAAUGG
Molecule: regulatory RNA element, 59 nt
Organism: Eubacterium sp. 14-2
Lineage: Bacteria; Bacillati; Bacillota; Clostridia; Eubacteriales; Eubacteriaceae
Rfam family: pemK RNA
Source: Rfam